AUACGUAGGGAGCGAGCGUUGUCCGGAAUUACUGGGUGUAAAGGGAGCGUAGGCGGGAGUGCAAGUCAGAUGUGAAAUACAUGGGCUCAACCCAUGGGCUGCAUUUGAAACUGCAUUUCUUGAGUGAAGUAGAGGUAAGCGGAAUUCCUGGUGUAGCGGUGAAAUGCGUAGAUAUCAGGAGGAACACCGGUGACGAAGGCGGCUUACUGGGCUUUUACUGACGCUGAGGCUCGAAAGCGUGGGGAGCAAACAGGAUUAGAUACCCUGGUAGUCCACGCCCUAAACGAUGAAUACUAGGUGUGGGGGGACUGACCCCUUCCGUGCCGGAGUAAACACAAUAAGUAUUCCACCUGGGGAGUACGACCGCAAGGUUGAAACUCAAAUGAAUUGACGGGG
RNAcentral lists this ribosomal RNA (396 nucleotides) under uncultured bacterium. RNAcentral's name for it is "partial 16S ribosomal RNA". It matches the Rfam family "Bacterial small subunit ribosomal RNA", at positions 523 to 918 of the family's 1533-position model. The record is from RNAcentral.